UUCGAAGCGGUUAGUGGCGGACUGGUGAGUAACACGUAAGCAACCUGCCUGUUAGAGGGGAAUAACAGUGAGAAAUCACUGCUAAAACCGCAUAUGCCGUGAACAUCGCAUGAUGAAAACGGGAAAAGAGCAAUCUGCUAAUAGAUGGGCUUGCGUCUGAUUAGCUAGUUGGUGUGGUAAAGGCAUACCAAGGCAACGAUCAGUAGCCGGACUGAGAGGUUGAACGGCCACAUUGGGACUGAGAUACGGCCCAGACUCC
RNAcentral lists this ribosomal RNA (259 nucleotides) under uncultured Oscillospiraceae bacterium. RNAcentral's name for it is "partial 16S ribosomal RNA". It matches the Rfam family "Bacterial small subunit ribosomal RNA", at positions 82 to 339 of the family's 1533-position model. Lineage: Bacteria; Bacillati; Bacillota; Clostridia; Eubacteriales; Oscillospiraceae. The record is from RNAcentral.